Molecule: transfer RNA, 71 nt
Filed under: Canis lupus familiaris (dog)
Lineage: Eukaryota; Metazoa; Chordata; Mammalia; Carnivora; Canidae
Also listed under: 2 other names
Rfam family: tRNA
About the family: Transfer RNA (tRNA) molecules are approximately 80 nucleotides in length. Their secondary structure includes four short double-helical elements and three loops (D, anti-codon, and T loops).
Source: Rfam by way of RNAcentral
GCCUGGCUGGCUCAGUCAGUAGAGCACCUGACUCCAUCUCAGGGUCAUGGGUUCAAGCCCUACACUGGGCA